GAGCUGCCAAGUGAAGGGCUGU
RNAcentral lists this microRNA (22 nucleotides) under Platynereis dumerilii (Dumeril's clam worm). Its description in RNAcentral is "Pdu-Mir-22-P2_3p (mature (co-guide))". Lineage: Eukaryota; Metazoa; Annelida; Polychaeta; Phyllodocida; Nereididae. The record is from RNAcentral. RNAcentral also lists the same sequence under 2 other names.